This 564-nucleotide ribosomal RNA is filed under the name uncultured bacterium. RNAcentral describes it as "partial 16S ribosomal RNA". It matches the Rfam family "Bacterial small subunit ribosomal RNA", at positions 355 to 912 of the family's 1533-position model. The record is from RNAcentral.
UGGGGAAUUUUGGACAAUGGGCGAAAGCCUGAUCCAGCAAUGCCGCGUGUGUGAAGAGGCCUUCGGGUUGUAAAGCACUUUUGUCCGGAAAGAAAUCCUUGGCUCUAAUACAGUCGGGGGAUGACGGUACCGGAAGAAUAAGCACCGGCUAACUACGUGCCAGCAGCCGCGGUAAUACGUAGGGUGCAAGCGUUAAUCGGAAUUACUGGGCGUAAAGCGUGCGCAGGCGGUUUGCUAAGACCGAUGUGAAAUCCCCGGGCUCAACCUGGGAACUGCAUUGGUGACUGGCAGGCUAGAGUAUGGCAGAGGGGGGUAGAAUUCCACGUGUAGCAGUGAAAUGCGUAGAGAUGUGGAGGAAUACCGAUAGCGAAGGCAGCCCCCUGGGCCAAUACUGACGCUCAUGCACGAAAGCGUGGGGAGCAAACAGGAUUAGAUACCCUGGUAGUCCACGCCCUAAACGAUGUCAACUAGUUGUUGGGGAUUCAUUUCCUUAGUAACGUAGCUAACGCGUGAAGUUGACCGCCUGGGGAGUACGGUCGCAAGAUUAAAACUUCAAAUGAAUUG